This 406-nucleotide ribosomal RNA is filed under the name uncultured bacterium. Its description in RNAcentral is "bacterial SSU rRNA". It matches the Rfam family "Bacterial small subunit ribosomal RNA", at positions 355 to 776 of the family's 1533-position model. The record is from RNAcentral.
UGGGGAAUUUUCUGCAAUGGGCGAAAGCCUGACAGAGCAAUAUCGCGUGAGGGAAUAAGGCUUACGAGUUGUAAACCUCUUUUUUCAAAGAAGAAGAACUGACAGUAUUUGAAGAAUAAGCAUCGGCUAACUCUGUGCCAGCAGCCGCGGUAAUACAGGGGAUGCGAGUGUUAUCCGGAAUUAUUGGGCGUAAAGCGUUUGUAGAUGGAAUUUUAAGUUUUUUGUUAAAUUUAUAAGCUCAACUUAUUUUAAGCAAAAAAUACUAUUUUUCUUGAGUAUAAAAGAAGUAAAGAGAAUUUUCAGUGGAGCGGUGAAAUGUGUAGAUAUUGAAAAGAAUACCAAAAGCGAAGGCACUUUACUAGUUUAUUACUGACAUUGAGAAACGAAAGCUGAGGUAGCAAAUGGG